Molecule: ribosomal RNA, 784 nt
Filed under: uncultured Halomonas sp.
Lineage: Bacteria; Pseudomonadati; Pseudomonadota; Gammaproteobacteria; Oceanospirillales; Halomonadaceae
Description: bacterial SSU rRNA
Rfam family: Bacterial small subunit ribosomal RNA
Source: RNAcentral
CGGCCUUCUNGGACUGACACUGACACUGAGGUNGCGAAANGCGUGGGUAGCAAANAGGAUUAGNAUACCCUGGUAGUCCACGCCGUAAACGAUGUUGACCAGCCGUUGGGUGCCUAGCGCACUUUGUGGCGAAGUUAACGCGAUAAGUCGACCGCCUGGGGAGUACGGCCGCAAGGUUAAAACUCAAAUGAAUUGACGGGGGCCCGCACAAGCGGUGGAGCAUGUGGUUUAAUUCGAUGCAACGCGAAGAACCUUACCUACUCUUGACAUCCUGCGAAUUUGGUAGAGAUACCUUAGUGCCUUCGGGAACGCAGAGACAGGUGCUGCAUGGCUGUCGUCAGCUCGUGUUGUGAAAUGUUGGGUUAAGUCCCGUAACGAGCGCAACCCUUGUCCUUAUUUGCCAGCGCGUAAUGGCGGGAACUCUAAGGAGACUGCCGGUGACAAACCGGAGGAAGGUGGGGACGACGUCAAGUCAUCAUGGCCCUUACGAGUAGGGCUACACACGUGCUACAAUGGUCGGUACAAAGGGUUGCCAACUCGCGAGAGUGAGCCAAUCCCGAAAAGCCGAUCUCAGUCCGGAUCGGAGUCUGCAACUCGACUCCGUGAAGUCGGAAUCGCUAGUAAUCGUGGAUCAGAAUGCCACGGUGAAUACGUUCCCGGGCCUUGUACACACCGCCCGUCACACCAUGGGAGUGGACUGCACCAGAAGUGGUUAGCCUAACGCAAGAGGGCGAUCACCACGGUGUGGUUCAUGACUNGGGGUGAAGUCGUAACAAGGUAANCC